This 723-nucleotide ribosomal RNA is filed under the name uncultured bacterium. Its description in RNAcentral is "bacterial SSU rRNA". It matches the Rfam family "Bacterial small subunit ribosomal RNA", at positions 8 to 714 of the family's 1533-position model. The record is from RNAcentral.
AGAGUUUGAUCCUGGCUCAGAAUCAACGCUGGCGGCGUGCCUAACACAUGCAAGUCGCGCGCGAAAGGGGGGCAACCCCCAAGUAGAGCGGCGCACGGGUGAGUAACGCGUGGGUGAUCUGCCUCCGAGUGGGGAAUAACAGCGGGAAACUGCUGCUAAUACCGCAUGACAUCCUCGGGUCGUACUGAGGAUCAAAGCCGGGGACCGCAAGGCCUGGCGCUUGGAGAUGAGCCCGCGUCCGAUUAGCUAGUUGGUGGGGUAAUGGCCUACCAAGGCUUCGAUCGGUAGCCGGCCUGAGAGGGCGGACGGCCACACUGGGACUGAGACACGGCCCAGACUCCUACGGGAGGCAGCAGUGGGGAAUUUUUCGCAAUGGGGGAAACCCUGACGAAGCAACGCCGCGUGGAGGAUGAAGGCCUUCGGGUCGUAAACUCCUGUCGACUGGGAAGAAUGCACCUGACCUAAUACGUCAAAGUGUUGACUGUACCGGUGGAGGAAGCCACGGCUAACUCUGUGCCAGCAGCCGCGGUAAUACAGAGGUGGCAAGCGUUGUUCGGAAUUACUGGGCGUAAAGGGCGCGUAGGCGGCCCGUCAAGUCCCGUGUGAAAGCCCCCGGCUCAACCGGGGAACGGCGCGGGAAACUAGCAGGCUUGAGUUCGGGAGAGGGAAGCGGAAUUCCGGGUGUAGCGGUGAAAUGCGCAGAUAUCCGGAGGAACACCGGUG